GCUGGGGCUCAGUGGUACAGCACUCGACUAGCACAUGCGAGGCCCUGCGUUCGAUCCUCAGCACGGCA
RNAcentral lists this transfer RNA (68 nucleotides) under Marmota monax (woodchuck). Its description in RNAcentral is "tRNA.Ala". The record is from RNAcentral. Lineage: Eukaryota; Metazoa; Chordata; Mammalia; Rodentia; Sciuridae.